This is a long non-coding RNA of Xenopus tropicalis (tropical clawed frog), 487 nucleotides long. RefSeq lists it as uncharacterized. NCBI's taxonomy places the organism in Eukaryota, Metazoa, Chordata, Amphibia, Anura, Pipidae. The record is from RefSeq and is a predicted model, not a curated record. The transcript is spliced from 2 exons.
AAAGAGACUGUUCUCCGCCCCCUAAUGGUUACUGCGACUGCCAGUCUCAAAGAUGGCGGCUGAUGUUGCGUUGUGGGAUUGAUUCUAGUCUGUCAAAGCUCAGCAAAUAGGCAAACAAGAACAAAUACUCUAAUCCUCCUAGGCAGCAAUGCCAGUGUUCUGAGACAGGGAUUUGGGGGCUUUCUUUUCAGCUUCAGCUGAAGUAAAAGGGCAUUUGCCCUGGGUUCUCACGUUUAUGGAGAGAUAUUUAUUGUGACUCAUUUGGAAUAUUAGAAACACAUUUGGAAUGUUAGAAACGUGUGGAAAGAGUCCAGUCCGAUGGAGCUGACAGUGAUUAAAAGUAUGAAGAAAUAUUUUUACCAUCUGCCUACAAAAGCCCUUUAGCCAAGAAGAACAAACAAAGAGGAGCUGUUCUUCGGUUCCCCUUGGCGCGAGUCGCUGCACACGAAGCUGCUUCCAAGCUGCCAUUAAAAUUCACUCAGAAUAA